Long non-coding RNA from Sinocyclocheilus rhinocerous, 261 nucleotides. RefSeq lists it as uncharacterized. NCBI's taxonomy places the organism in Eukaryota, Metazoa, Chordata, Actinopteri, Cypriniformes, Cyprinidae. The transcript is spliced from 3 exons. The record is from RefSeq and is a predicted model, not a curated record.
ACCAAAAGAGCUUUGAAAGAACCCUCAGAGUUACCAAUGAGCCCUUGUUCUCCUUCAAAUCUGAACCUAGUUACCAGUCAGCCACAGUACUGUAUUGAUACGCCGGGUUAUAAAGUCAGAAAACAUCGUCUCUCUGAAGAAUUCAAGUUCACGCCGCUGUCUCCUUUGCUUGAAUCGAACCUGUCUGAUGCCAGUGGCUCAGAAAAUCAUCCGCAACCACCCACAACAUCUUCUGGCUCUUCAGAUCCAAUCCAACCCAAA